ACGAACGCUGGCGGCAUGCCUAACACAUGCAAGUCGAACGAGACCUUCGGGUCUAGUGGCGCACGGGUGCGUCACGCGUGGGAACCUGCCCUUAGGUUCGGAAUAACUCCCCGAAAGGGGUGCUAAUACCGGAUAAUGUCUUCGGACCAAAGAUUUAUCGACUUUGGAUGGGCCCGCGUUGGAUUAGCUAGUUGGUAGGGUAAAAGCCUACCAAGGCGACGAUCCAUAGCUGGUCUGAGAGGAUGAUCAGCCACACUGGGACUGAGACACGGCCCAGACUCCUACGGGAGGCAGCAGUGGGGAAUAUUGGACAAUGGGCGAAAGCCUGAUCCAGCAAUGCCGCGUGAGUGAUGAAGGCCUUAGGGUUGUAAAGCUCUUUUACCCGGGAUGAUAAUGACAGUACCGGGAGAAUAAGCUCCGGCUAACUCCGUG
This 432-nucleotide ribosomal RNA is filed under the name uncultured bacterium. Its description in RNAcentral is "partial 16S ribosomal RNA". It matches the Rfam family "Bacterial small subunit ribosomal RNA", at positions 29 to 507 of the family's 1533-position model. The record is from RNAcentral.